This 572-nucleotide ribosomal RNA is filed under the name Salmonella enterica subsp. enterica serovar Enteritidis. RNAcentral describes it as "partial 23S ribosomal RNA". It matches the Rfam family "Bacterial large subunit ribosomal RNA", at positions 690 to 1259 of the family's 2925-position model. The record is from RNAcentral. Lineage: Bacteria; Pseudomonadati; Pseudomonadota; Gammaproteobacteria; Enterobacterales; Enterobacteriaceae.
GGGCGUUAAGUUGCAGGGUAUAGACCCGAAACCCGGUGAUCUAGCCAUGGGCAGGUUGAAGGUUGGGUAACACUAACUGGAGGACCGAACCGACUAAUGUUGAAAAAUUAGCGGAUGACCUGUGGCUGGGGGUGAAAGGCCAAUCAAACCGGGAGAUAGCUGGUUCUCCCCGAAAGCUAUUUAGGUAGCGCCUCGUGAAUUCAUCUCCGGGGGUAGAGCACUGUUUCGGCUAGGGGGCCAUCCCGGCUUACCAACCCGAUGCAAACUGCGAAUACCGGAGAAUGUUAUCACGGGAGACACACGGCGGGUGCUAACGUCCGUCGUGAAGAGGGAAACAACCCAGACCGCCAGCUAAGGUCCCAAAGUCAUGGUUAAGUGGGAAACGAUGUGGGAAGGCCCAGACAGCCAGGAUGUUGGCUUAGAAGCAGCCAUCAUUUAAAGAAAGCGUAAUAGCUCACUGGUCGAGUCGGCCUGCGCGGAAGAUGUAACGGGGCUAAACCAUGCACCGAAGCUGCGGCAGCGACACUGUGUGUUGUUGGGUAGGGGAGCGUUCUGUAAGCCUGUGAAGGUGU